Molecule: ribosomal RNA, 77 nt
Filed under: Staphylococcus aureus
Lineage: Bacteria; Bacillati; Bacillota; Bacilli; Caryophanales; Staphylococcaceae
Also listed under: 1 other name
Description: partial 16S ribosomal RNA
Rfam family: Bacterial small subunit ribosomal RNA
Source: RNAcentral
GGGACAAAUGAUUGGGGUGAAGUCGUAACAAGGUAGCCGUAUCGGAAGGUGCGGCUGGAUCACCUCCUUUCUAAGGA